Molecule: transfer RNA, 74 nt
Filed under: Candidatus Merdivicinus excrementipullorum
Lineage: Bacteria; Bacillati; Bacillota; Clostridia; Eubacteriales; Oscillospiraceae
Description: tRNA-Gly
Rfam family: tRNA
About the family: Transfer RNA (tRNA) molecules are approximately 80 nucleotides in length. Their secondary structure includes four short double-helical elements and three loops (D, anti-codon, and T loops).
Source: RNAcentral
GCGGACGUAGUUUAAUGGCAGAGCUCCAGCUUCCCAAGCUGGUCACGCGGGUUCGAUUCCCGUCGUCCGCUCCA